GGGGUUUCUAUGGGAAAAUAAAAUGAUUAAAAACAAGUUCUUACAUAUUGUGUAUUAAUCUAAUAAUAUUUUGAAAUUGCAUACAAAGUCGAGAAUAAGGGAAAUCAAAAGCCAUUUGGUGUUGAUUCAUUGUCUUCUCUUUGGACCAAUUGUGGCUAGUGAGAGACAAGUUGUAGAGGAUGUAGCACUCAUUCUUACAACAGCAAAACAACAAACCUCUUGACCAUCCUCUCUCCUUACUCUACACUUGCUAAAUCAUUGAUUUGAUCCCCCACAAAUCUUCCUUCUUCGGGACAUCUUUCCCCCUCCAUCAUUCACUUGGCUCUCUUGGGAUUCUUGCUUCAUGAUGCCUCCUCUCUUUGUUUUAUGAUUCUCUAGGCAUCCUCAUCCACCUCUUUAUACCCAUACAUGGAGGCCAUGGAAAUUUAGC
This 430-nucleotide long non-coding RNA is filed under the name Vitis vinifera (wine grape). RNAcentral describes it as "long non-coding RNA (VVIN_LNC001509)". Lineage: Eukaryota; Viridiplantae; Streptophyta; Magnoliopsida; Vitales; Vitaceae. The record is from RNAcentral.